AGUUGCCAGCACGUAACGGUGGGGAACGUCUGGAGGAAACUGCCGGUGACAAACCGGAGGAAGGUGGGGAUGAGGUCAAAUCAUCAUGCCCUUUAUGUCCUGGGCUACACACGUGCUACAAUGGCCGAUACAGAGGGGCUGCGAAACCGUGAGGUGGAGCGAAUCCCCAAAGUCGGUCUCAGUUCGGAUUGCAGGCUGCAACUCGCCUGCAUGAAGUCGGAAUCGCUAGUAAUCGCGAGUCAGCAUAUCGCGGUGAAUACGUUCCCGGGUCUU
This 273-nucleotide ribosomal RNA is filed under the name uncultured Peptococcaceae bacterium. RNAcentral's name for it is "partial 16S ribosomal RNA". It matches the Rfam family "Bacterial small subunit ribosomal RNA", at positions 1113 to 1382 of the family's 1533-position model. Lineage: Bacteria; Bacillati; Bacillota; Clostridia; Eubacteriales; Peptococcaceae. The record is from RNAcentral.